This 325-nucleotide transfer-messenger RNA is filed under the name Candidatus Harrisonbacteria bacterium CG10_big_fil_rev_8_21_14_0_10_44_23. It matches the Rfam family "transfer-messenger RNA". Rfam says of the family: Bacterial tmRNA, also known as 10Sa RNA or SsrA, is named for its dual tRNA and mRNA-like properties. Its role is to liberate the mRNA from a stalled ribosome. The record is from RNAcentral. Lineage: Bacteria; Candidatus Harrisoniibacteriota.
GGGAGUGUAAGUUUCGACAAAUUGUUCUUUUACAAGUUGCAAGCUGAGCUGAAUUAACUCAUUAAACUGGUUCAUCUUAGAAUUGCUAACAGAAAUGUUGCUCUAGCCUACGCAUAAAUUUAGCCGUAGGCCAUCGCUCCACCUCUCCUCUUAAGGUGGGUUCGCGGUGUCAUAUUGAGAGGGUAGGCUAAAUUGCUUUGAGCUCGUCAAAUUAGCCGAAACUUUGAGCUCACUGUGGCUGUUUUAGGCCCUAACUAAAACUAAGCUUGUAGAUAUUUGUAAUCCGAGCCUUUUGGACGGGGUUUCAAUACCCCCACUUCCACCG